UGGCAGAUUACUUCUGUGAGCAACUGGGUCUCUCAGUUCUUUGGGAGCACCCUGGGAAACAGUGUGGCUAUGACUUGGAGCUGCUCACCAGUUCCAGUCAUUCUGUGGUUGAGAGCUGCUCCCUAUGGAUGUUAAUUCUUCUCUAUUUUAGAUUUUCCACAGGUGUGGGCCCCAUUAGCUCUGGCCACCUGAGAAAGCCCUCAGGCAAAGAGUCGCAGGUGAAAGCCAGCAGUUAGAGGUUCACAGAAAUGAGUGCAGAAGCAUCUUCAGUUGGAGAGCCAUUGCCUCUUGCUGUGAAAUAUUUGGGAAUCUUCAGAAACCAUGAAGAAUAACCUGCUAAAGGCCACCAAGUUCUAUUGAACAUCAUGAAUCCUAUGCUCAAGUGAGAUCAGCUCAAGUGAGACCAGAUAUCUGAAGACCUUUUCAUUUUCGCCACCCUCAAAUGAAGGCAUGCAAGCUUAUGUUGACACAUCGUUCUAGGAAGAAAACAGAACAUUUCUGCUCAUCAGUGUUUUGCAGUAAGAACUUGUGACCCCUAAUUGUCAAUAUAUCCUGUGGGACGGUAGGUUUUAUGCCUUAACAGAGGCCACAUCAGUGUGCCCUCUGCCCAAAUAGCCCUCUUCCCAUCACUUGAUGGGAUGACAUUGGCUAGGGCAUGACCAAUGGAAGAAGGCCAUUUUACCUUCUUCCCAUGUUGCUCACACACUUAAAUGUUCAGGGCUUUUCUGUGCUCUCAAGGCCACACUCCUCAACCAAAUAAGAAAGAACUCACAUGAUGGGAUGACACUGAGUAGGGUACUGUCUAACUCAUUGCUCACCUCUUAGAAUGGAAGGACAACACAUUCAGUUGUUGCUAAUGCCUUAGAAUGAAUAUGUUUGUUAGGUGGCUCUUUUGGGGCUAGUUCAAAAAGGCCACUGACAAGAAUGGGAGGAGACUAGAUCGGUCAUGUUGGGGAAUAAAGGGUGAGAUGAAGGAUCCAUGAAAGAGCCAUACAUGUGGAUUACCUGGGAGAGCCCAUGAAGACCCUGGUACCUGGAGAGUGGAGUGGGCAAGAAAUAAAAGGGCAAUUCAGAAGGGAGAGUGGUAGCCUGAACAGAAACUUCCAAACUGUAAUAAUCAAGGAUUCGGAGAAAGCUUAAUAUGGGGAUCUCCAGAGACUGAAUUUGCAGAACAAGUGAAGCAGCACAGGGGCUGCCGUUGGUGAACAUUCUAACCUUGGUCACCCAGUUAAUGUGCUAUAGCUUCUGGGGAAUACACUUGUCGUAACUGCCACCAAAUAGUGAGGUUUUCCUUGAGUAAUGAGAAGAAAAAUGCAUUCACUACCUCAAUUCAGUACACAAAGCCCGCAAAGGAUAGUUUUACAGGGUUUUAAUAUCUUCCUGAGCUUUUUAAUGAGGGAAACCAAGCACGUCAUAUCUGCUUUGCUGAAACUUUAAGAUUAAUGUGGCUGAGUGCAGUGGCUCACGCUUGUAAUCCCAGCACUUUGGGAGGCCUAGUCAGGUGGAUCACCUGAGGUCAGGAGCUCGAGACCAGCCUGGCCAGCAUGGUGAAACCACAUCUCUACUAAAAAUACAAACAUUAGCCAGGUUUGGUAGUGGGUGCCUGUAAUCCCAGCUACUUGGGAGGCUGAGGCAGGAGAAUUGCUUGAACCCAGGAGGUGGAGGUUGCAUGAGCCAAAGUCGUGCCUCUGCACUCCAGCCUGGGCAACACAGCGAGACUCCAUUUCAAAACAACAACAACAAAAAAAAAAAAA
This 1754-nucleotide long non-coding RNA is filed under the name Homo sapiens (human). RNAcentral's name for it is "long intergenic non-protein coding RNA 534". The record is from RNAcentral. Lineage: Eukaryota; Metazoa; Chordata; Mammalia; Primates; Hominidae.